Molecule: long non-coding RNA, 1711 nt
Organism: Helianthus annuus (common sunflower)
Lineage: Eukaryota; Viridiplantae; Streptophyta; Magnoliopsida; Asterales; Asteraceae
Exons: 3
Source: RefSeq, a predicted model, not a curated record
CGUCUGGUGCUCCGAUGACUGGCGACCACGCUUUUAAUCAGGUUGGUGAUAUGACGGUAGAUAAACUUUUUAUGUGAUAUAACUAUGAUUUAUUAUUUCAAUUUCUAACCCUAAACUGAUCCAUGAUAUCGCUACUCUCCUUGAACAUCCGAUUAAGAAACCGGUGAUACAGGAAUUCCAACGACCCUUGAUUUUUGUUCCGACUGCUAUUGCGUUUGACCGGAUAACACUGAUUUACCACUCCCUUUUCAUGGUCGUUACACCUUUAUGCACUUUAUUUGAUUUUGUUCUUUGGUUUUUCGUUUCAUAUCUGUUUGUGAUAGGCUGAAGGUUCAGAUUGUUAGCGAUAAUUCCCAGGUGAUAUCCAUAUAUGAUUUCCGUUUUCAGUUUUUUAGAUAACUUGCAAAUAUCGUUGUUCUUUGGUUUUUCGUUUCAUAUCUGUUUGUGAUAGGCUGAAGGUUCAGAUUGUUAGCGAUACUUCCCAGGUGAUAUCCAUAUAUGAUUUCCGUUUUCAGUUUUUUAGAUAACUAGCAAAUAUCGUCAAUUAGUGUUUGGUAUAAAUAAAAAAACUAUUUUACCAAAAAAAAAAAAACUUCAGUGUGUAUUUCACUUUUGUAUAUUGUCUAUGCAAAUUGUUGCCAUCUCCCCUUGCUUUAAAUAUAAAGUUCGAAACAAGUCGAUAACUCUCUUAAGUUAUACGAGUCUAAACUUGAACCUAAACAAGCUUAAGAGAAGAAAGUCAGUGAGAUUUGGUUUGGGCCAGUCUUUAAAUCUUAGGUGUUAGUAUCAGCUUGAUUUUCAUAAAAAUGUAAUAAAUAUAUUUUGAACACCACCAGAAAAAUAUUUUGAUAUGAAGAAGCUCUUGAGUCUUGAACGACAGGAAAUGCUAAAACAUAGCAUGUUGCCAGUAUGUUGCUUAUUAAAUGGUUAAAACUGGCAUAUUUGGUUAUAAAUGGUAAAGUAUGUCACAUUAAUUAGUUAACAAAAAGUAUGUUAUAUAUCCGUAAAAAGUGCACAGUACAUUGCAUUUUCUUGUGAUUUGCUUUUAAUAUUUUGCUCAAAAUCGUGUCGGUCUUUUUCAGCGAGUUUUGGAUGGAAAGUACGAUGAUCUACCCGAACAAUUGUUUUACAUGGUUGGUGGAAUCGAUGAGGUUAUUGCUAAGGCCGAGAAGAUUGCGAUGUGUGUGUGAAGAAAGAACUAAGGGAACUGUAUAAAUUUAGUUGACUUUUUUUUGUGGAUGGCGGAUCCGUUGACUGCAUUGAUGUACGCAGUUCAAGUAAUGAACUUUAUGAAGACGCUCAUCACGAAAACUCUUCGUGAACGAGAGGAUGCUGUUAUAGAAUCGUCUCGUGGCCCACCACAAGAACCACCGUUAGAUAAAAACGGUGAUCAAGGGCCGAGAUUGAGCCCACACGUGCAACAAAACCAUGAUGAAAAUGAAGUGAAGAAGGCGGGAAGAAGUUUGUUAGUCUUCUGUAUUUGCGUUUGGUGCUCCGGUGACUGGCGACCACACUUUUAAUCAGGUAUUCCGACGGCCCUUGAUUUUUGUUCCGGCUACUGUUACGUUUGACCGGAUAACACUAAUUUACCACUCCCACUUCAUGGUCGUUACCCCUUUAUGCACUUUAUUCUAUUUUGUUCUUUGGUUUUUCGUUUCAUAUCUGUUUGUUGAUUUACUAUUACUUCGCAACUUUGUUUGUCAGGCGAGAC